Molecule: ribosomal RNA, 253 nt
Filed under: uncultured bacterium
Lineage: Bacteria
Description: partial 16S ribosomal RNA
Rfam family: Bacterial small subunit ribosomal RNA
Source: RNAcentral
UACGAAGGGGGCUAGCGUUGUUCGGAAUUACUGGGCGUAAAGCGCGCGUAGGCGGAUUGCUAAGUCAGGGGUGAAAUCCCGAGGCUCAACCUCGGAACUGCCUUUGAUACUGGUGAUCCGGAGUCCGGAAGAGGUUGGUGGAAUUCCGAGUGUAGAGGUGAAAUUCGUAGAUAUUCGGAGGAACACCAGAGGCGAAGGCGGCCAACUGGUCCGGUACUGACGCUGAGAUGCGAAAGCGUGGGGAGCAAACAGG